RNAcentral lists this unclassified non-coding RNA (464 nucleotides) under Hevea brasiliensis (rubber tree). Lineage: Eukaryota; Viridiplantae; Streptophyta; Magnoliopsida; Malpighiales; Euphorbiaceae. The record is from RNAcentral.
AAUUACCAAAGUUUAUCCAAUGGAUGCAGUUUUUGACAGUCCUGAGGAUGUUCCUGAAGAUGUAAAAACAAACAAACGGUAUUCAGGGGCCUCCAAAUGGACUGUUCAGGACCUAGUUGAAUCCGUGAAGCAGGAUUUUGGCAGCAUUGACAUCCUUGUGCACUCACUUGCAAAUGGGCCAGAGGUUAGCAAACCUCUUCUGGAGACAUCAAGGUAUGGAUAUCUUGCCGCCAUCUCUGCAUCAAGUUACUCAUUUAUUUCCUUACUGAAGCAUUUUGUUCCAAUAAUGAAUCCAGGUACACUUAUUGCCCAAUUUCCUUUCCUUUUUAAUGUGAUUUUUAUUCCUCUCUCUAUUUAUCUCACUUCAUCCUACUCCUUUGGAAGCCCAAAUGGUGUUUAAGAAAAUAAUCUUGGCGAUGCCAGAGAGUGUUGUUAGAACUUGAGUUUUGUUGUUGAUAUUACAG